CCGAAAGUCAGGAAGCUCCGGAUUGGAAAGUCAUUAGACGGCUACGAAAGACUCACGCUGAUGUUAAGUAAGUUCAUCGAAAUGGGCGAACCAAAUAUUGGCCUUUUCUCUCUAUUUUCCAUCUUCAGCUAGCCGAGUAAUAGAUUUCUUUUUCUCUGAGUUCUUCAUUGGUUCUCCGGCACUUCCACCACCACCAUUAUCACCAGAAUCUAUACCUUCAUCUACUUCUUCUUCUCCUUUUCCUUUUCAGUUGGUCAUGAAGAUCUUUUCGCUGACCUUCAAGAGGGAAAAUAUUGUAGUUUUUCUAAGAGAGAGAACCACUACCAAAAAGGGCAAAAGGUGUACCAAAAAUAAGAGGUACCGGAAGCAUUCGAGAGAACUCGGGUUAUAUUCAGAAGGUUAAUCUCAGUCAUUGAAAAAAUGGGUUGAUGAUGAUAUCAAUACUAACAAACUCGGGUUAUAUUCAGAAGAACUCAGGUGGCCAUUGCCGUAAAGAAACUACGCCAACCUUCAGUAUAUCUGCUACAGAAAGGCGCAAUGUAUACUAAGGGCUUUUCCAGGAUCGGCACUAUCAGACAAGUGAAUUGACUGAGCUUGGCCAUACUGACAGAGAUCAGUUUGUGUUAUCUGCUCCUCACCCAACACCCGCUACAGUAUUCCCUCAUGUAGUAGCGACAUGGUGGCUAGAACAGGUCAGAUCGAUUGUACUGACAUGUUAACACAUAGUUGGAAGCUGGGAAGAUACCACUACAAUAGAUUUUAUGCUUGAAGUGUCUGAGUCGAGAAAUGCUUAUCGCCAUCUUAAUGUUCUGAAUACGACAACUCCUGUACCCAUUUAUAGGCCUUUAAUAUGAACCUUUUACAGAGCAAGAAUUGACUCUGAUAAUAUGGAUCAUCUUCGUAAACCACUUAUUACCUAAGUUGAAGACUAAUCUCACACAAUUACAUGGUGAUUAUUGUGUAUGAGUAAAUUUUGCAAUGUGUGUUAUUUUGCUUUAUUUAAAAAUGUUUUAUUUCUUAUCUAUUAUCAUUUUUUUCCUCAUGUAUAGGGUGUUUGUUUCGAUGUAACCAAGCAGCAUAUAAUAGGUAUAUAACUACUAUAUUUUUUUCAAUUAUGCUUA
Papaver somniferum (opium poppy) is the source of this 1121-nucleotide long non-coding RNA. RefSeq lists it as uncharacterized. The transcript is spliced from 6 exons. The record is from RefSeq and is a predicted model, not a curated record. Lineage: Eukaryota; Viridiplantae; Streptophyta; Magnoliopsida; Ranunculales; Papaveraceae.